UAUAUUUAAGUGUUUUGCAUAUGAAUUUUUGAAAUUCAAGGGUUAAACAAGUGUUUAAAAGUAUAA
This 66-nucleotide transfer RNA is filed under the name Cyamophila willieti. RNAcentral describes it as "tRNA-Gln". The record is from RNAcentral. Lineage: Eukaryota; Metazoa; Arthropoda; Insecta; Hemiptera; Psyllidae.